GGAGAGAUGGGCAGAGAGGAACCUCCUGAAGUUCAACAAAGGAAUGACCUCAGCAGAUCUGCUGAAAGUAGCAAUUGGCCGCUUACGUCUCUUCUUCCAAGGAAAAAAGCACCAAAGCUCUCAUUUUUGUUCUCUACCAGAAUGAAACUGCGGGAUGUCAAAACCUCUGCAAAGUGAAGGCAUCAUCUUCUGGCCACUGCUGAGGCACAGGGCUGCCAUUGGCACUUGGCUUGUUCUUCACAAUGCAUCCCUUGUUUUGCUAUAACGCCAUCCUCUCCCCUUUCCCUUUACUACCACUUAUGCUGUCUCUAAAGUGAGUCUUCCUGGCAAGAUGUCUGAAGAAUGAAUAAACAGAAUAA
Molecule: non-coding RNA, 359 nt
Organism: Struthio camelus australis
Lineage: Eukaryota; Metazoa; Chordata; Aves; Struthioniformes; Struthionidae
Source: RefSeq, a predicted model, not a curated record